AUCUUAGACAAUGGGGGAAACCCUGAUCUAGCCAUGCCGCGUGGACGAUGAAGGCCUUAGGGUUGUAAAGUCCUUUCGCUGGGGAAGAUAAUGACGGUACCCAGUAAAGCAGCCCCGGCUAACUCCGUGCCAGCAGCCGCGGUAAUACGGAGGGGGCUAGCGUUGUUCGGAAUUACUGGGCGUAAAGCGCGCGUAGGCGGAUAGUUAAGUCGGGGGUGAAAUCCCGGGGCUCAACCCCGGAACUGCCUUCGAUACUGGCUGUCUAGAGUUCUGGAGAGGUGAGUGGAAUUCCGAGUGUAGAGGUGAAAUUCGUAGAUAUUCGGAGGAACACCAGUGGCGAAGGCGGCUCACUGGCCAGAUACUGACGCUGAGGUGCGAAAGCGUGGGGAGCAAACAGG
This 398-nucleotide ribosomal RNA is filed under the name uncultured bacterium. RNAcentral's name for it is "bacterial SSU rRNA". It matches the Rfam family "Bacterial small subunit ribosomal RNA", at positions 361 to 776 of the family's 1533-position model. The record is from RNAcentral.